Molecule: long non-coding RNA, 381 nt
Filed under: Daucus carota (carrot)
Lineage: Eukaryota; Viridiplantae; Streptophyta; Magnoliopsida; Apiales; Apiaceae
Description: long non-coding RNA (DCAR_LNC007699)
Source: RNAcentral
CAAAAGUUUUCAUUACCAACUAUAGUAAUAACGUACAAUCACAUACAAAAAUUUGUUUCACACAAUUGACAAGAGCCUAUAUAGAGUAGAUAGAAGCCAACAGAAAGCCCUUUGCAAGAUGAGCAGCUUAUUGGAGUUUGACCUCCAUAAUUGUUGCAAGAAAAAUAAUAACUCCUAGUGUUAGACAAUAGGGCUUUAAGAUCUACUCCGUAUUUGUUGUCUUCUUGACGACAACUCCAUUUAAUACUAGGGCCAGUAGCUGAAUCGACACAUGCUUUCCAUCCUUGGUUGGCCAGAGGCCCCCAUAGAGCAGCUUUUUGUUCAUCUGACUAAAAAUGAAUAAAGCAAAUGAGCACAUGAAGUUUUUACCAUACAAAAUUC